Molecule: ribosomal RNA, 251 nt
Filed under: uncultured bacterium
Lineage: Bacteria
Description: partial 16S ribosomal RNA
Rfam family: Bacterial small subunit ribosomal RNA
Source: RNAcentral
UCGGAGGGAGCUAGCGUUGUUCGGAAUUACUGGGCGUAAAGCGCGCGUAGGCGGCUUUGUAAGUUAGAGGUGAAAGCCCGGGGCUCAACCCCGGAAUUGCCUUUAAGACUGCAUCGCUUGAAUCCGGGAGAGGUGAGUGGAAUUCCGAGUGUAGAGGUGAAAUUCGUAGAUAUUCGGAAGAACACCAGUGGCGAAGGCGGCUCACUGGACCGGCAUUGACGCUGAGGUGCGAAGCGUGGGGAGCAAACAGG